UACGUAGGGUGCGAGCGUUAAUCGGAAUUACUGGGCGUAAAGCGUGCGCAGGUGGUUGUGUAAGUCAGAUGUGAAAUCCCCGGGCUCAACCUGGGAACUGCAUUUGAGACUGCACGGCUAGAGGAUGGCAGAGGGGGGUAGAAUUCCACGUGUAGCAGUGAAAUGCGUAGAGAUGUGGAGGAAUACCGAUGGCGAAGGCAGCCCCCUGGGCUAUUUCUGACACUCAUGCACGAAAGCGUGGGGAG
Molecule: ribosomal RNA, 245 nt
Filed under: uncultured Propionivibrio sp.
Lineage: Bacteria; Pseudomonadati; Pseudomonadota; Betaproteobacteria; Rhodocyclales; Rhodocyclaceae
Description: partial 16S ribosomal RNA
Rfam family: Bacterial small subunit ribosomal RNA
Source: RNAcentral